AUCAGACGGCAGCAAUGAAUGCCGAAAGAUAGCAAAAGAAAUCAGU
Molecule: non-coding RNA, 46 nt
Filed under: Yersinia ruckeri
Lineage: Bacteria; Pseudomonadati; Pseudomonadota; Gammaproteobacteria; Enterobacterales; Yersiniaceae
Description: Yersinia sRNA 209
Rfam family: Yersinia sRNA 209
Source: Rfam by way of RNAcentral